Molecule: long non-coding RNA, 920 nt
Organism: Pistacia vera
Lineage: Eukaryota; Viridiplantae; Streptophyta; Magnoliopsida; Sapindales; Anacardiaceae
Exons: 3
Source: RefSeq, a predicted model, not a curated record
CAUUUCAGGAAGUGAUUAUCCAACGUCUAAUUUAUUCUUGAAGGACGUGUGUGUAGUGAAAUGUAUGUUAGAUAGUAAAAGUGAAUCUAAAGAUGAUUUUAUUAGGGUAAUGGUUAGGAGAAUGAAAGAAAAGUUUGAUAAAUAUUGGGGGGAAUGUAAUGUGUUGACGUUUGUGGCUGCUGUAUUGGAUCCUCGGUUGAAAAUGAGGGUUAUUCAGUGGGCAUUCCCUAAGAUGUAUUCUGAGACAAAAGCAUGGGCAAAUAUGAUGACGGUCCGGGAUGUAUUGUAUGAGUUAUAUGGGGAGUAUAUUCAAGCUAAUCAAGGUGUGACUAUCGCCCAUGCUUCUACAUCACAAGGGGAUGUACAUGGAGCCAUUGGUGAGGGACCCGAGGCCUGGGAUGAUUUUAGCAGUUUUUAGGACGUGAUUGAAACUGUUGAGCCUAGUAUGUCUGAGUUGGACUGUUAUUUGGGAGAGGGAUGCCAUAAGUGUGUGGGAGAUCAUGACUCAUUCGAUGCCUUACAGUGGUGGAAGGCAAAUUCAACCAAGUAUCCUAUAUUGUCUACGAUGGCUCGUGAGAUACUAGCCAUUCUGAUCACUACGGUUGCUUCAAAGUCUGCAUUCAGUGCUGGGAGUAGGGUUAUUGAUAGCUACCGAGCUUCUUUGUCACCAACUACGGUGGAGAUGUUGUUAUGUGGAUCUGACUGGUGUCGCACUUUGAAUGGAGUGAAGAAAGGGUGUAAAAAAGAGGAGGAUCACUUGGAGAUUCAACUUCUUGUUCUGUUAGGUGAUGGGAGUCAGCAGAUUGGUUGAUUCACCCGUGAGUUAUUGCCUGUGGCAGUAGGAUUCUACAGGAGGAGUGGGGCUACAAUGGACAUACAACCAAUUAUCUUUUGCUGUUAUAUAUAUUUUUUGAUGGAUG